RNAcentral lists this long non-coding RNA (1741 nucleotides) under Medicago truncatula (barrel medic). RNAcentral's name for it is "long non-coding RNA (MTRU_LNC005066)". The stretch from base 143 to 311 matches the Rfam family "MIR2619 microRNA precursor family". The record is from RNAcentral. Lineage: Eukaryota; Viridiplantae; Streptophyta; Magnoliopsida; Fabales; Fabaceae.
UUUUUAAACUAGGGAAGAGGUACAAUGACUUUAAACUAGUCCUUAACUUACUUAUUAUAAAUAAAUUAUUGGUUUAAUUGCACUUUUGGACCCCUAUCUUUCCAAAAGUUGCGGUUAUGGACCCCUAACUAAUUUAAAUACAAAACAACCCCCUAUGUUUUGAUUCUUUGGCAGUUUUGGACCCCCAGUCCAUUGUUGACUCGGUCAACGCUGACGUGGCACCCUAAGUGAGGUGCCACGUGUCAAUAUUAUUUAUUUAUUUUUCCUUGGGGUCCAAAACUGCCAAAGAAUCAAAACAUAGGGGGCUGUUUUGUAUUUAAAUUAGUUAGGGGUCCAUAACCGCAACUUUUAGAAAGAUAGGGGUCCAAAAGUGCAAUUAAGCCUACAUUAUUUCUAUUUGUUUACAUAAUUCUACAUGUUCAUGUCAACCAAUUUUUACGUCUAAAGUGAACAAUAAAAGUAUAUGUCAUUUUAAAAUUAAACUUUAAAGAGCAUUGAUAACUGAACACAUUUUUUUAGACACAAUAGGGACACCAUAAGCAAUUUAGACUUUUUAACAUUAAAGUAAGGGCAUUGUUGUAAAUACACCACAUCUCUAUUCUUCAUCCCUUCUCUGCAUGUAAACAAAGUUCAUUCUCUCACCAUUCUUUCACUACCACACCACCGUCCUCCGUCGUCGUCCUCACCAUGUCCUCCGCCGUCGUUUUCGCAACCAACGUCCUCCUCCGCCAUCUUUGCCACAACUGCCGUCGUUUUCACCGUCCUCCUCACCGCAACCGUCGUCCGGCACUGACCACCGUCUCUCUCAGAUCUAGAUCUCACCCCACCGGCGACAUCCUUUUCCCACUCACGUCGCCAGAGAUUUGAUCAUGCCUUCCGAAAUCCAUUCAGCCGCCGCUGUCCAAGAUCAGUUUUGUUUUUCAUCUCUCUAACGUAUCUCUCUCUUGGAGAGGAAAAGUUAAAAUGAAGAGAGAUGUAGGACUGAGAGAGAAUAGUUGCAGAAGAGGGGAGGAGAAGAUGGAGAGGGAAGAAAAGAAAAGAAAAAAAAAAGAGAGAAAAAUAUGUAUAAUUAUAUGGUGGUUUCUAUAUUGUGUCUAAAAAAUUAUAUUCAGUUAUCAUUUUUGAACUUAAAAAUAAUAGUUUAUGUGAAUUUAAUUUUUUUAGCUUUUUGAGAUGAAAAAACGUUUCUAAAAUUAUCACAAUCUAGUUCAUUAAACAUUUUUUUUAACCCGCCGAUUUCAAUGAGAAGGAGACCCUGAUAAUCCGGAGUUCGGUUUGGCCUAGGGGGUAACUUAAGUUUGGCAAAAAUUAUUCCACCUAAAAACCGUGCUCACAUUUUCCUGAACAAUUUGUCAUCUGGUAGAACUUAUUAGGCUUAAAUGUUCAAUUGGUUCCUUAAGUAUUUAUUUGGUAUCGCUUUGAUCCCUUAACUAAAAGAAAGAUUGUUUGAGUAUUUUAUCUUUAUCUCCGUUACCUAUUUUGGUCCCUUCCGUUAAAUAAAUUCAAAAAAACGUUAGGGUUUGUAUUAUUCAUCUUCUUCCUUCUCCUUCCAUCCUCUUCUUCAUGAUCUUCAUCAUCAAAAACACACCAACCCAGAAAAAAAAUCUUUUUCAUCACCAUGUUCAUCAAAUUUAUAAACAUAAUGAGUUUCAUAUCUUAAUCAAUAACCAAUUUUUCAUCAUCAUCAUCUAAAUCCUUUAUCAUCAUCAUCAUUAUCAUCACCAAUCCUUCACUACAACCC